This 70-nucleotide small nucleolar RNA is filed under the name Oryzias javanicus (javanese ricefish). RNAcentral's name for it is "Small nucleolar RNA SNORD75 (ENSOJAG00000008492.1)". It matches the Rfam family "Small nucleolar RNA SNORD75". From Rfam's summary of the family: U75 (SNORD75) belongs to the C/D class of snoRNAs which contain the C (UGAUGA) and D (CUGA) box motifs. Most of the members of the box C/D family function in directing site-specific 2'-O-methylation of substrate RNAs. Lineage: Eukaryota; Metazoa; Chordata; Actinopteri; Beloniformes; Adrianichthyidae. The record is from Rfam by way of RNAcentral.
AGUUAGUGAUGAUUAAUAUAUAAGAGUAGUGGACAGAAGCGAUUUCUGACUAACUGUAUACACUGAUGCU